Molecule: ribosomal RNA, 554 nt
Filed under: Setipinna phasa (Gangetic hairfin anchovy)
Lineage: Eukaryota; Metazoa; Chordata; Actinopteri; Clupeiformes; Engraulidae
Description: partial 16S ribosomal RNA
Rfam family: Bacterial large subunit ribosomal RNA
Source: RNAcentral
UCCCACCUGCCCUGUGAUCAAAAAUUUAACGGCCGCGGUAUCCUAACCGUGCGAAGGUAGCGCAAUCAAUUGCCUUUUAAAUGAAGGCCUGUAUGAACGGUAUAACGAGGGUUUGACUGUCUCUUUUUUCAAGUCAGUUAAACUGAUCUGUCCGUGCAGAAGCGGACAUAAUACUACAAGACGAGAAGACCCUAUGGAGCUUUAAACACUAACCAACCACAAAAAGCAAUAUAAGCUAGACAUACUCCAAACUCUGUGGAAAUGGAAUAACAGUUUUAGGUUGGGGCGACCACGGGAGAAAAAAAAGCUCCCGAGCAGAUCGGGAAAAAUCCUGAAACCAAGAGCUACAGCUCUAAGUCACAAAAAUUUUGACUGAAAUGAUCCGGCUACAGCCGAUUAACGAACCAAGUUACCCUAGGGAUAACAGCGCAAUCCCCUUCCAGAGUCCAUAUCGACAAGGGGGUUUACGACCUCGAUGUUGGAUCAGGACAUCCUAAUGGUGCAACCGCUAUUAAGGGUUCGUUUGUUCAACGAUUAAAGUCCUACAUGAUCUG